RNAcentral lists this ribosomal RNA (317 nucleotides) under uncultured bacterium. RNAcentral describes it as "bacterial SSU rRNA". It matches the Rfam family "Bacterial small subunit ribosomal RNA", at positions 32 to 346 of the family's 1533-position model. The record is from RNAcentral.
AAUCAACGCUGGCGGCGCGCUUAACACAUGCAAGUCGCACGAGAAAGUGGAGCAAUCCAUGAGUACAGUGGCGCACGGGUGAGUAACACGUGGGUAACCUGCCCUUGAAUGGGGAAUAACCCGGGGAAACCUGGGCUAAUACCGCAUACGCUCCUUUUGGCUCACGCCAGGGGGAGGAAAGGCGCAAGCCGUUCGAGGAGGGCCCGCGGCCGAUUAGCUAGUUGGUAGGUAAUGGCCACCAAGGCUUUGAUCGGUAGCCGGCCUGAGAGGGCACACGGCCACACUGGCACUGAAACACGGGCCAGACUCCUACGGGA